UUUGACAUUUGUUUUGAAAAUGUAUGAAACUAGCAACAUUGACGAAAAUGUUUUUUAAAAUGGCCGUUGUUAUUGGUACAACUCCUAGUUACGCAGUGGAAAAAAUGUGACAAUAAAACAAACCGAUAGCAAUAUGCACAACAGUGUAUCGUGAUAGCAACUUGGAUUCUCUGUGCUAGAAGACAGUUCUUAAUUCUAGGAACCAACCCGUUUGUAUCCCUGCGCCCUUAAAUUGCAAACAUUAUGCUCCUGUAUCAUAUAAAGGAAGUGCUUUUUAAAUUACAUCGGGAUGAUGUAGCAAGAAUAGUAGCUCUAGUGGUUAUGCUCUUUCCGUUGUUACUGGAUUUAAUAUUAGGACCUCCGCACAGCUUUGCAGUGUGAUGUUUGUGGACAAGAAAACUGCCCAUGCCACAACCGCAAUGUGUAGGUUCACGAACCAUAGAAAGAGCUUCUAAUUGAUCGCUCGCUGGAUGACACGGUGAAUAAAUUUUUCAUCUACUUUUGGACGGUUUCAUAAGCAAUUGGUACUCGCAGAUAGCUCCUGAGUGGAGUACAUUCUCAACAUCACAAGCAACGUGAGGGAUGCUCUGUACCUUUUGUAGCUAGAGCCUCAUAAACAGGGAAUUGUGCGAGCCUGGUGUACGAUUUUUUCAGAUUUCCCAUGAUGAUAAGAGGAUGUGCGGAUGUUGGUGAAAAAUUAGAGGCUGUGAUUGGAAAGCUCGCGGUUUUCCAGUAAGUCGAAAAAACCCAAGGAAGUUCUGGACUAUUUCAACGACACUUUCAUCCCGUCAGAUCUAGACAGUGGAAUCAACUUAGCUUUAAUAUCAGCUUCAUAUUUUAGGCUGAACUUAAUAUGUACAAACUAUGAAAUUUCAUUCGAUCUAGUACCAGUAAGGGGCCGCACACUAAUUACGUAAGGCUUUUUUAGAGCUUUUCAACCUCCCCCUCCCCCCAGAUAAGAGUUCGUAAGAUUUUGGUGAACUCCCCCUCCCCCUACAUAAGAUCUUAUCAUGAUUAUCGUAAUUAAAAAAUCGAAUUGUUAAUUCAUCAAAUUUAUUAUAGCGAAAACGAUAUGUAUAGAAUUAUUACAAGAAAACUCAUGACAAAAUUUAACUGUAAUCAUCUGCAGAAUUUUAAUUGCAUGCCAAUCUC
Long non-coding RNA from Topomyia yanbarensis, 1152 nucleotides. RefSeq lists it as uncharacterized. The record is from RefSeq and is a predicted model, not a curated record. The transcript is spliced from 3 exons. Lineage: Eukaryota; Metazoa; Arthropoda; Insecta; Diptera; Culicidae.